This 373-nucleotide long non-coding RNA is filed under the name Gallus gallus (chicken). Its description in RNAcentral is "long non-coding RNA NONGGAT003316". Lineage: Eukaryota; Metazoa; Chordata; Aves; Galliformes; Phasianidae. The record is from RNAcentral.
GAAACAUGGAAAGAGCUGGAUGCCGAAUUUGAUCGCUGCGUUGUGGAUGUGAAGCCCCACGUCCUAAAGCUGCAGCAUAGAACGCCAAAGGUGUGCACUGUGGGUUAAAAAACUGUGUGAGCCCUCAGGAGCGGGUACAGGGAUAGCGGGAAGGAGGAAUCGGAACUCAUAUGCAAAGCUUUUGCUCCACAUGCUGAAACGAGGAGUGCUCGAAGAUCCUUUUACACAUGAACCAGAACCAGGAAUGCUGAAAACAUUACCUUCAUACAUGUUAAUUUAUUUUGAUGAACCAAAUUCAACAAGAAUUCAAAGUAGUAGCCCAGACUACUUACCUGACUGGGUGAUGGGAGAGUUAGGAAAAGGUGAAUCCAGG